AGCNCCGUAGUGAAUGACACGUCAAAUUGCAAAUUUGAAAACGCCCCAACANUUUGGUGCCGGGGCUU
Molecule: transfer RNA, 68 nt
Filed under: Bavayia septuiclavis
Lineage: Eukaryota; Metazoa; Chordata; Lepidosauria; Squamata; Diplodactylidae
Description: tRNA-Cys
Source: RNAcentral